UGUACAUGCAAGUACACACAAAGAUUUUGUCCAGGGUUGCAAAAAAGAAUCAAACAUAUAUUUGGAAAAGAAAUGAUCUGCCAUAAACUCCAUACACCUCACCCCAAAAGGAGAAUCCUCACAAUCUCAACUCCAGACCGUGAUCUACAGCCUUGUCAUGGUCUGAAAACUAAGACAACCAAGACAAAACUAAGGCAUAGAUUGUGAGUUUGAAAGGCUUUCCCCCUUAAUGCAACAGAGGAAAAGUCUCUUUGUGGGAAGAACCCCUCAGGUGUUUAGGACUGUCUUUGAAGCUGUAAGAACUCACAGAUACAUAGAAGAGGCUGUACAGCACCCAACAUUGUCAGAAAAU
Long non-coding RNA from Pseudopipra pipra, 352 nucleotides. RefSeq lists it as uncharacterized. Lineage: Eukaryota; Metazoa; Chordata; Aves; Passeriformes; Pipridae. The record is from RefSeq and is a predicted model, not a curated record. The transcript is spliced from 3 exons.